CCAAAAGCAGGGAAAAUAAUAAUAAUAAUAUUAAUAAUCUUCCUUUCUCCCCAGUCCUGAAGGGAAUAUAGAAACAAACAAGCUUUCUCUCACAGGCUCAAUCUACCUAGAUUUCUGUACUGUUUUCCCAUUAUGAUAAUUCUUUCCUAUUUUCUUCUUUUCAGGUUGACCACAGAACUGACUGUCACCCUCACUGAACUCCUUACUACAGGAGUGCAGCAGCAGAGAUCGCAGCCAGUGAUCUCAGUUAAAUGAAGACUAAUGCCUAGAGUUAGGAUAUACAGCUCAGGCAUUUAUCAGACAUUUAUGUCCUUUGAGUGGCUGCAUUUGCUAAUCAGAUGCUUAUGGUGCUUCAGCUGUUAUAGCUGCCAGGGAGCAAGGGCAGGUGAUCUGCAAGCAGGCAUCAGCGGCAGGGUAGGAUCAUCACAGGAUGGACACAGGGCAAAAUCUACUACAUAGACGAGCAUUUGGGCUAAAGUAAGCAUGGCUUUUAACCAAAAAGAUCCUGAAAUAUCACAAUCCCUAC
Molecule: long non-coding RNA, 526 nt
Organism: Cygnus olor (mute swan)
Lineage: Eukaryota; Metazoa; Chordata; Aves; Anseriformes; Anatidae
Exons: 3
Source: RefSeq, a predicted model, not a curated record